CCCUUAGAUGUUCUGGGCCGCACGCGCGCUACACUGACGAAUGCAACGAGCUUAUAACCUUGGCCGAAAAGUCUGGGUAAUCUCCAAAUUUCGUCGUGAUGGGGAUAGAUUAUUGCAAUUAUUAAUCUUCAACGAGGAAUGCCUAGUAAGCGCAAGUCAUCAGCUUGCGUUGAUUACGUCCCUGCCCUUUGUACACACCGCCCGUCGCUCCUACCGAUUGAAUGGUCCGGUGAAGCGUUUGGACUAUGGUUUUCUGACGGUUCGCCAUUGGAUUACCGUGGGAAAUUCGUUAAACCUUAUCAUUUAGAGGAAGGAGAAGUCGUANCA
RNAcentral lists this ribosomal RNA (327 nucleotides) under uncultured eukaryote. RNAcentral's name for it is "partial 18S ribosomal RNA". It matches the Rfam family "Eukaryotic small subunit ribosomal RNA", at positions 1470 to 1796 of the family's 1831-position model. The record is from RNAcentral.